RNAcentral lists this ribosomal RNA (1390 nucleotides) under Chloridium caudigerum. RNAcentral describes it as "partial large subunit ribosomal RNA". It matches the Rfam family "Eukaryotic large subunit ribosomal RNA", at positions 1 to 1422 of the family's 3401-position model. Lineage: Eukaryota; Fungi; Ascomycota; Sordariomycetes; Chaetosphaeriales; Chaetosphaeriaceae. The record is from RNAcentral.
UUGACCUCGAAUCAGGUAGGAAUACCCGCUGAACUUAAGCAUAUCAAUAAGCGGAGGAAAAGAAACCAACAGGGAUUGCCUCAGUAACGGCGAGUGAAGCGGCAACAGCUCAAAUUUGAAAUCUGGCCUUUGGCCCGAGUUGUAAUUUGCAGAGGAUGCUUCGGGCGCGGUGCCUUCCAAGUCCCCUGGAACGGGGCGCCGGAGAGGGUGAGAGCCCCGUACGGUUGGCGGCCAAGCCUGUGUGAAGCUCCUUCGACGAGUCGAGUAGUUUGGGAAUGCUGCUCUAAGCGGGAGGUAGACCCCUUCUAAAGCUAAAUACCGGCCAGAGACCGAUAGCGCACAAGUAGAGUGAUCGAAAGAUGAAAAGCACUUUGAAAAGAGGGUUAAACAGCACGUGAAAUUGUUGAAAGGGAAGCGCUUGUGACCAGACGUGCGCCGGGGUGCUCAGCGGGCGUUCUCGCCCGUGCACUCGCCCCGGUGCAGGCCAGCGUCGGUUUGGAUGGGGGGAUAAAGGCGCCUGGAAUGUGGCUCCCUCGGGAGUGUUAUAGCCAGGCGUGCCAUGCCUCCGUCCGGACCGAGGUACGCGUUCUGCAAGGACGCUGGCGUAAUGGUCUCCAGCGACCCGUCUUGAAACACGGACCAAGGAGUCGAGGUUUUGCGCGAGUGUUUGGGUGGAAAACCCGCACGCGUAAUGAAAGUGAACGUAGGUGAGAGCUUCGGCGCAUCACCGACCGAUCCUGAUGUUUUCGGAUGGAUUUGAGUAAGAGCGUAGGGCCUCGGACCCGAAAGAUGGUGAACUAUGCUUGGAUAGGGUGAAGCCUGAGGAAACUCUGGUGGAGGCUCGCAGCGGUUCUGACGUGCAAAUCGAUCGUCAAAUCUGAGCAUGGGGGCGAAAGACUAAUCGAACCAUCUAGUAGCUGGUUACCGCCGAAGUUUCCCUCAGGAUAGCAGUGUUGUUCUUCAGUUUUAUGAGGUAAAGCGAAUGAUUAGGGACUCGGGGGCGCUAUUUAGCCUUCAUCCAUUCUCAAACUUUAAAUAUGUAAGAAGCUCUUGUUGCUUAAUUGAACGUGGGCAUUCGAAUGUAUCAACACUAGUGGGCCAUUUUUGGUAAGCAGAACUGGCGAUGUGGGAUGAACCAUACGGGGGGUUAAGGUGCCAGAGUAGACGCUCAUCAGACACCACAAAAGGCGUUAGCACAUCUUGACAGCAGGACGGUGGCCAUGGAAGUCGGAAUCCGCUAAGGACUGUGUAACAACUCACCUGCCGAAUGUGCUAGCCCUGAAAAUGGAUGGCGCUCAAGCGUCUCACCCAUACCCCCCCCUCAGGGUAGACACGAUGCCCUGAGGAGUAGGCGGCCGCAGUGCUGUGUGACGAAGGCUAGGGCGUGAGC